RNAcentral lists this ribosomal RNA (492 nucleotides) under uncultured bacterium. Its description in RNAcentral is "partial 16S ribosomal RNA". It matches the Rfam family "Bacterial small subunit ribosomal RNA", at positions 29 to 507 of the family's 1533-position model. The record is from RNAcentral.
AGUGAACGCUGGCGGUAGACCUAACACAUGCAAGUCGAACGGCAGCACAGUAAGAGCUUGCUCUUACGGGUGGCGAGUGGCGGACGGGUGAGGAACACAUCGGAAUCUACUUUUUCGUGGGGGAUAACGUAGGGAAACUUACGCUAAUACCGCAUACGACCUACGGGUGAAAGCAGGGGAUCUUCGGACCUUGCGCGAUUGAAUGAGCCGAUGUCGGAUUAGCUAGUUGGCGGGGUAAAGGCCCACCAAGGCGACGAUCCGUAGCUGGUCUGAGAGGAUGAUCAGCCACACUGGAACUGAGACACGGUCCAGACUCCUACGGGAGGCAGCAGUGGGGAAUAUUGGACAAUGGGCGCAAGCCUGAUCCAGCCAUACCGCGUGGGUGAAGAAGGCCUUCGGGUUGUAAAGCCCUUUUGUUGGGAAAGAAAAGCAGCAGGUUAAUACCCCGCUGUUCUGACGGUACCCAAAGAAUAAGCACCGGCUAACUUCGUG